UACUACAGUAGCAGUAAAAUCGUGAAAGCAUAAUCUUGUCUAGCAAAAGCUUCCUUUUUCUUCUGGUGGCCGUCAUUGCUUCCUCAGGGAUUUUUGAAGGCAGUUCCAAUGGACUAAUAGCUUAUGCUUGCCCGUCGUCAUCCAAAGAAACUCAAACGAAAGUACCAUCAAAAAUUCAAUGCCCGGAGAUUAUAAUUCUGAUGAUUGAUGACAUCUCCAGAAAUUGGAAAUAACUCGGUCACUGUUGGCAUCUGGAUCGGAGCCACAUAUCAUCGGUUACCUAACGCACCUUUUUACAGAGUAGAAAUGAGAGAGGGUACAUCUAGUUCAAGUAUACCCGUCAACAAUACAUACUACGAAGAGGAUAAGUUAAUUAAUAAAUCGUUAACCAAUCAUUAAUAAAGACAAGUGUGUAAGCACAAAUAAAAAUAUUCUGUCUAAAAAUUA
Cotesia glomerata is the source of this 447-nucleotide long non-coding RNA. RefSeq lists it as uncharacterized. Lineage: Eukaryota; Metazoa; Arthropoda; Insecta; Hymenoptera; Braconidae. The record is from RefSeq and is a predicted model, not a curated record. The transcript is spliced from 2 exons.